AGAGUUUGAUCCUGGCUCAGAUUGAACGCUGGCGGCAUGCUUUACACAUGCAAGUCGGACGGCAGCACAGAGAAGCUUGCUUCUUGGGUGGCGAGUGGCGAACGGGUGAGUAACAUAUCGGAACGUACCGAGUAGUGGGGGAUAACUGAUCGAAAGAUCAGCUAAUACCGCAUACGUCUUGAGAGAGAAAGCAGGGGACCUUUGGGCCUUGCGCUAUUCGAGCGGCCGAUAUCUGAUUAGCUGGUUGGUGGGGUAAAGGCCUACCAAGGCGACGAUCAGUAGCGGGUCUGAGAGGAUGAUCCGCCACACUGGGACUGAGACACGGCCCAGACUCCUACGGGAGGCAGCAGGUGGGGAAUUUUGGACAAUGGGCGCAAGCCUGAUCCAGCCAUGCCGCGUGUCUGAAGAAGGCCUUCGGGUUGUAAAGGACUUUUGUCAGGGAAGAAAAGGCUGUUGCUAAAUACCAGCGGCUGAUGACGGUACCUGAAGAAUAAGCACCGGCUAACUACGUGCCAGCAGCCGCGGUAAUACGUAGGGUGCGAGCGUUAAUCGGAAUUACUGGGCGUAAAGCGGGCGCAGACGGUUACUUAAGCAGGAUGUGAAAUCCCCGGGCUCAACCCGGGAACUGCGUUCUGAACUGGGUGACUCGAGUGUGUCAGAGGGAGGUAGAAUUCCACGUGUAGCAGUGAAAUGCGUAGAGAUGUGGAGGAAUACCGAUGGCGAAGGCAGCCUCCUGGGACAACACUGACGUUCAUGCCCGAAAGCGUGGGUAGCAAACAGGAUUAGAUACCCUGGUAGUCCACGCCCUAAACGAUGUCAAUUAGCUGUUGGGCAACUUGAUUGCUUAGUAGCGUAGCUAACGCGUGAAAUUGACCGCCUGGGGAGUACGGUCGCAAGAUUAAAACUCAAAGGAAUUGACGGGGACCCGCACAAGCGGUGGAUGAUGUGGAUUAAUUCGAUGCAACGCGAAGAACCUUACCUGGUCUUGACAUGUACGGAAUCCUCCAGAGACGGAGGAGUGCCUUCGGGAGCCGUAACACAGGUGCUGCAUGGCUGUCGUCAGCUCGUGUCGUGAGAUGUUGGGUUAAGUCCCGCAACGAGCGCAACCCUUGUCAUUAGUUGCCAUCAUUCAGUUGGGCACUCUAAUGAGACUGCCGGUGACAAGCCGGAGGAAGGUGGGGAUGACGUCAAGUCCUCAUGGCCCUUAUGACCAGGGCUUCACACGUCAUACAAUGGUCGGUACAGAGGGUAGCCAAGCCGCGAGGCGGAGCCAAUCUCACAAAACCGAUCGUAGUCCGGAUUGCACUCUGCAACUCGAGUGCAUGAAGUCGGAAUCGCUAGUAAUCGCAGGUCAGCAUACUGCGGUGAAUACGUUCCCGGGUCUUGUACACACCGCCCGUCACACCAUGGGAGUGGGGGAUACCAGAAGUAGGUAGGGUAACCGCAAGGAGUCCGCUUACCACGGUAUGCUUCAUGACUGGGGUGAAGUCGUAACAAGGUAGCCGUAGGGGAACCUGCGGCUGGAUCACCU
RNAcentral lists this ribosomal RNA (1531 nucleotides) under Neisseria meningitidis 92045. RNAcentral's name for it is "bacterial SSU rRNA". It matches the Rfam family "Bacterial small subunit ribosomal RNA". Lineage: Bacteria; Pseudomonadati; Pseudomonadota; Betaproteobacteria; Neisseriales; Neisseriaceae. The record is from RNAcentral.